CUGCAGCUCAAGUGGUGAUCAUUAUUAUUGGGCCUAAAACGUCCGUAGCCUGUUUAGUAAAUGCCUGGGUAAAUCGUGUAGCUUAAUUAUACGAAUUCCGGGUAGACUGCUAAACUUGAGACCGGGAGAGGCUAGAGGUACUCCUGGGGUAGAGGUGAAAUUCUGUAAUCCUAGGGGGACCACCAGUGGCGAAGGCGUCUAGCUAGAACGGGUCUGACGGUGAGGGACGAAGCCCUGGGGCACAAACCGGAUUAGAUACCCGAGUAGUCC
RNAcentral lists this ribosomal RNA (270 nucleotides) under uncultured archaeon. RNAcentral describes it as "partial 16S ribosomal RNA". It matches the Rfam family "Archaeal small subunit ribosomal RNA", at positions 477 to 747 of the family's 1478-position model. The record is from RNAcentral.